UACGUAGGGUGCAAGCGUUGUCCGGAAUUAUUGGGCGUAAAGAGCUUGUAGGCGGUUUGUCGCGUCUGCUGUGAAAUUUCGGGGCUCAACCCCGAACUUGCAGUGGGUACGGGCAGACUAGAGUGUGGUAGGGGAGACUGGAAUACCUGGUGUAGCGGUGAAAUGCGCAGAUAUCAGGAGGAACACCGAUGGCGAAGGCAGGUCUCUGGGCCACUACUGACGCUGAGAAGCGAAAGCAUGGGGAGCGAACAGG
This 253-nucleotide ribosomal RNA is filed under the name uncultured bacterium. RNAcentral describes it as "partial 16S ribosomal RNA". It matches the Rfam family "Bacterial small subunit ribosomal RNA", at positions 524 to 776 of the family's 1533-position model. The record is from RNAcentral.